AUUGAACGCUGGCGGCAUGCCUUACACAUGCAAGUCGAACGGCAGCACGGGUGCUUGCACCUGGUGGCGAGUGGCGAACGGGUGAGUAAUACAUCGGAACAUGUCCUGUAGUGGGGGAUAGCCCGGCGAAAGCCGGAUUAAUACCGCAUACGAUCCACGGAUGAAAGCGGGGGACCUUCGGGCCUCGCGCUAUAGGGUUGGCCGAUGGCUGAUUAGCUAGUUGGUGGGGUAAAGGCCUACCAAGGCGACGAUCAGUAGCUGGUCUGAGAGGACGACCAGCCACACUGGGACUGAGUCACGGCCCAGACUCCUACGGGAGGCAGCAGUGGGGAAUUUUGGACAAUGGGCGAAAGCCUGAUCCAGCAAUGCCGCGUGUGUGAAGAAGGCCUUCGGGUUGUAAAGCACUUUUGUCCGGAAAGAAAUCCUUGACUCUAAUACAGUCGGGGGAUGACGGUACCGGAAGAAUAAGCACCGGCUAACUACGUG
This 486-nucleotide ribosomal RNA is filed under the name uncultured bacterium. RNAcentral's name for it is "partial 16S ribosomal RNA". It matches the Rfam family "Bacterial small subunit ribosomal RNA", at positions 30 to 507 of the family's 1533-position model. The record is from RNAcentral.